GAUGAACGCUGGCGGCGUGCUUAACACAUGCAAGUCGAAUGGAAAGGCCCUGCUUUUGUGCGGUGCUCGAGUGGCGGAGGGGUGAGUAACACGGGAGUAACCUGUCCUUUACUGGGGGAUAACUUGAGGAAACUGGGGCGAAUACCGGAUAGGAGCUCCUGCUGCGUGGUGGGGGUUGGAAAGUGUCGGUGGUUGGGGAUGGACGCGCGUCUUAUCAGCUUGUUGGUGGGGUAGUGGCUUACCAAGGUGUUGGGGGGUAGCCGGGCGGAGAGGGUGAGCGGCCACAUUGGGACUGAGAUACGGCCCAGACUCCUACAGGGGGCAGCAGUGGGGAAUAUUGCAGAAUGGGCGGACGCCUGAUGCAGAAACGUCGCGUGCGGGAUGACGGCCCUCGGGUUGUGAACCGCUUUCGCAUGUGACGAAGAGUGAGUGACGGUAAUGGGUAAAGAAGCAACGGCUAACUACGUG
This 468-nucleotide ribosomal RNA is filed under the name uncultured bacterium. Its description in RNAcentral is "partial 16S ribosomal RNA". It matches the Rfam family "Bacterial small subunit ribosomal RNA", at positions 28 to 507 of the family's 1533-position model. The record is from RNAcentral.